UUUCCUACGGGACGCAGCAGUGGGGGAUAUUGCACAAUGGGGGAAACCCUGAUGCAGCGACGCCGCGUGGGUGAAGAAGUAUUUCGGUAUGUAAAGCCCUAUCAGCAGGGAAGAAAGAAGACGGUACCUGACUAAGAAGCCCCGGCUAACUACGUGCCAGCAGCCGCGGUAAUACGUAGGGGGCGAGCGUUAUCCGGAUUCACUGGGUGUAAAGGGAGCGUAGACGGCCGUGCAAGCCAGGAGUGAAAGCCCGGGGCCCAACCCCGGGACUGCUCUUGGAACUGUGCGGCUGGAGCGCGGGAGGG
This 305-nucleotide ribosomal RNA is filed under the name uncultured bacterium. RNAcentral describes it as "bacterial SSU rRNA". It matches the Rfam family "Bacterial small subunit ribosomal RNA", at positions 335 to 656 of the family's 1533-position model. The record is from RNAcentral.